RNAcentral lists this long non-coding RNA (709 nucleotides) under Ixodes scapularis (black-legged tick). RNAcentral describes it as "uncharacterized LOC120846245, transcript variant X5". The record is from RNAcentral. Lineage: Eukaryota; Metazoa; Arthropoda; Arachnida; Ixodida; Ixodidae.
GACCGCGUUUCUGCGCUUCAGAUUGCGUUUUUCCGACUCCUUUGUUUGAUAUCGUGUCGUAUCGUCGUAUUUAUGUAGUUAUUAGGAACGGCAAGGCCUACGUUGUUGCGUCCUUUACCUGAAUAUCGUGACCGAAUCGAGUGUCGGCGAUUUGAAUCGUGUCUUGCGAACCAUCGUCGAACGAAAGGUGAUGGCUGGUCGUGGUUCAUCAGCGUUUGUUUUGAAACUGAUGGGUACCACAAGGCAUGAAGGAGGUGACUUGCAGCAGCAAGGCACUGCAAGCCUUCGCAGCAACUGGCUAGCCAGUGCUGCUCUGUUCUGAACUGCACUGCGUGUCAUGCGGAGGUUUUGUGCAAGCUCUCUGGGCGGCGACGCUAGCCACGAUUGGCUUCGUGGAUGCACAGAAAUACUCAAGGCGCUUGACGUCUGUGGCUCAUCUGUAUUGUUUUUCCCGGUACCACGGCAUGAAGGAGCUGGCCUCCCUCCCUUCCAUCAGCUGCGAGAUACUACAAGCACUGGGCUACAGCUGCAGCUAGCCCAUGGGUACCGUUCUGCGUCCUGUACUGCAUCUAGUUCGAAAGGCAGGUACCGGGGACCAUGACAUCAGUGAGCUGGCUUUCACCUUGUCCAAGGCAGCAGCGGAACACUACGGGCGGGACCCUGGAUCACUGCACCAUGGAUGCCGUCCUGUACCCUGCACGGCACUGCG